RNAcentral lists this ribosomal RNA (889 nucleotides) under uncultured bacterium. RNAcentral describes it as "bacterial SSU rRNA". It matches the Rfam family "Bacterial small subunit ribosomal RNA", at positions 54 to 933 of the family's 1533-position model. The record is from RNAcentral.
CAUGCAAGUCGAGGGGAAACGACAUCGAAAGCUUGCUUUUGAUGGGCGUCGACCGGCGCACGGGUGAGUAACGCGUAUCCAACCUGCCCACCACUUGGGGAUAACCUUGCGAAAGUAAGACUAAUACCCAAUGACGUCUCUAGAAGACAUCUGAAAGAGAUUAAAGAUUUAUCGGUGAUGGAUGGGGAUGCGUCUGAUUAGCUUGUUGGCGGGGUAACGGCCCACCAAGGCGACGAUCAGUAGGGGUUCUGAGAGGAAGGUCCCCCACAUUGGAACUGAGACACGGUCCAAACUCCUACGGGAGGCAGCAGUGAGGAAUAUUGGUCAAUGGACGAGAGUCUGAGCCAGCCAAGUAGCGUGCAGGAAGACGGCCCUAUGGGUUGUAAACUGCUUUUAUAAGGGAAUAAAGUGAGAGUCGUGACUCUUUUUGCAUGUACCUUAUGAAUAAGGACCGGCUAAUUCCGUGCCAGCAGCCGCGGUAAUACGGAAGGUCCGGGCGUUAUCCGGAUUUAUUGGGUUUAAAGGGAGCGUAGGCCGGAGAUUAAGCGUGUUGUGAAAUGUAGAUGCUCAACAUCUGAACUGCAGCGCGAACUGGUUUCCUUGAGUACGCACAAAGUGGGCGGAAUUCGUGGUGUAGCGGUGAAAUGCUUAGAUAUCACGAAGAACUCCGAUUGCGAAGGCAGCUCACUGGAGCGCAACUGACGCUGAAGCUCGAAAGUGCGGGUAUCGAACAGGAUUAGAUACCCUGGUAGUCCGCACGGUAAACGAUGGAUGCCCGCUGUUGGUCUGAAUAGGUCAGCGGCCAAGCGAAAGCAUUAAGCAUCCCACCUGGGGAGUACGCCGGCAACGGUGAAACUCAAAGGAAUUGACGGGGGCCCGCACAAGCGGA